CAAACACAUCCACUGUGCAGUGUGUCACCACAAACACUCAUGGCAAUGACACACAACGUCUUAUCUUCACCCAGGAGUCAACAGAAUGUCAACAGGCUUCAGUUCCACUCCUGAUCCUUUUAACACUGAUUCUCCUCCUGUAUGCUCUGACUGUUGGACUUGGCCUCUACAAAAUUAGACAAUUGUCCACCAAGAUAAAGGCACAGAAUGAGGCUGGCACUUA
Molecule: long non-coding RNA, 223 nt
Organism: Xyrauchen texanus (razorback sucker)
Lineage: Eukaryota; Metazoa; Chordata; Actinopteri; Cypriniformes; Catostomidae
Exons: 4
Source: RefSeq, a predicted model, not a curated record